This is a non-coding RNA of Xyrichtys novacula (pearly razorfish), 541 nucleotides long. The record is from the annotation of a GenBank genome assembly. Lineage: Eukaryota; Metazoa; Chordata; Actinopteri; Labriformes; Labridae.
GGAACUUUACUCAUGACUGUUAAGCCCAACAAAUAAGAACUGUAUGGGUUUUAAAUUAUACAUUUCCGUGGACCACUCUACUUUAAGCGGUGCGCGUUUUGCGAGGUACAUGCAAUUCUCGGAGGACAUGCGUUUCUCAGCACAACACCGCUAACAACAACGAUCGCAAAAUGAGCAACGAACAAGCGAAAACCACCGAAAAUGAAGAUUUGUUGCCAAAAAGAAAAGGAAAGUCAGUUAUCUGGAAUUAUUUCGGUUAAAAGAAGGACCAAAACACGUGUUCUGUGUUAAUCUGUUGCCACAAUAACGUCCCAGCACAAUAAGAGCUAAAAAUAUCUCUGAGACAGAAGCCAUUCUAACAUUCACAAAAAGAGGUAAGAUCAGUGCAGGGUAACUGUCCUCAAGAUUUCAGCAGUGCAGCAUAACAUUAAAUGCUAUUCAUGUCAUCUGGUGAAAAUUCCUGUAUUUUUAAUAUCGCAAUAUAUAUCGCAGGGUUGAAAAAAAUCGCAAUAUUAUUUUUUUCCAAUAUCGUGCAGCCUUA